UCGAUCCUGACCUUCUCUUUUGAAGGCAUCGAAUUCCUUGGUAAAUGUCGACGUCUAUUCCCCUUUUCCUGGGAAUGUCGAACAUGCUUUCCUGCGGAAAUGUCGAUCCUGCCCUUCUCUUUUGAAGGUAUCGACUUCCUUGGUAAAUGUCGACGUCUAUUCCCCUUUUCCUGGGAAUGUCGAACAUGCUUUCCUGCGGAAAUGUCGAUCCUGCCCUUCUCUUUUGAAGGUAUCGACUUCCUUGCCAAAUGUCGACGCUUAUCCCAUUUCUUGGGAAUGUCGAACAUGCUUUUCUGCGGAAUAUCGAUGGUUUUUCUGAAAUGUCGAUGGAUCUUCUUGAAAUGUCGAUGCCAUUUAGUCGGAUUUUAGGGUUUUCUACGGACUGGGCCGUCGUGGGCCUGCCGGGCCCGUGGACUUCCUGGUCCAACGGGUCGACCCGGAUGAACAGUGCCCGCGACGGUUCGUCUUCGACUUUCCCCUAUAAAUAGCGGAUGGAGUUCAUUUGUUUUCUCACUCGUUUUCUUCGCUCUGAGGCAU
RNAcentral lists this long non-coding RNA (537 nucleotides) under Zostera marina. Its description in RNAcentral is "long non-coding RNA (ZMAR_LNC000162)". The record is from RNAcentral. Lineage: Eukaryota; Viridiplantae; Streptophyta; Magnoliopsida; Alismatales; Zosteraceae.